Molecule: ribosomal RNA, 594 nt
Filed under: uncultured bacterium
Lineage: Bacteria
Description: bacterial SSU rRNA
Rfam family: Bacterial small subunit ribosomal RNA
Source: RNAcentral
UACGGAGGAGUGCAAGCGUUAUUCGGAAUCACUGGGCGUAAAGGGCGNGUAGGCGGCUUGAUAAGUUAGAUGUGAAAGCCUUCUGCUUNACGGAAGAAUUGCAUUUGAUACUGUCAGGCUUGAGUUCGAGAGAGGGUAGUGGAAUUCCCAGUGUAGCGGUGAAAUGCGUAGAUAUUGGGAAGAACACCAGUAGCGAAGGCGGCUACCUGGCUCGUAACUGACGCUAAUGCGCGAAAGCGUGGGGAGCAAACAGGAUUAGAUACCCUGGUAGUCCACGCUGUAAACGAUGGAUACUANAUGUUGGUGCCGAUUCGUCGGUAUCAGUGUCGGAGCAAACGCAUUAAGUAUCCCGCCUGGGGAGUACGAUCGCAAGGUUGAAACUCAAAGGAAUUGACGGGGGCCCGCACAAGCGGUGGAGCAUGUGGUUUAAUUCGNUGCAACGCGAAGAACCUUACCGGGGUUUGACAUCAUGGCGGCGCAUGUAGAGAUAUCUGUUCCCUUCNGGGCGCCAUGACAGGUGCUGCAUGGCUGUCGUCAGCUCCGUGUCGUGAGAUGUUGGGNUUAAGUCCCGCAACGAGCGCAANCCCCUUGGUC